This 76-nucleotide transfer RNA is filed under the name Chamaeleo arabicus (Arabian chameleon). RNAcentral's name for it is "tRNA-Asp". The record is from RNAcentral. Lineage: Eukaryota; Metazoa; Chordata; Lepidosauria; Squamata; Chamaeleonidae.
AAAGCCUUAGUAAAACAUUACAUAGCCCUGUCAGCACUAAAUUAUGGGUACCUACCUCCUAAACCCAUAGGCUUUA